AUCUCCUAAAGUAUUUGGAAUUUCUGAUCUCCGCCGGGUUUAAUGAAAAGAGGAAGUUAAAGAGCACAGAAUAAAGGCGAACAUCCGCCAAGGAUGUGAGGAAUAUGUCAACACAACGACGACAGAAUCGACGAACACAUUCAAAAUUAAAAUAUCAGACAACACAAGAAUUCCAUGGAAGAAAUUUAGUCACAAAAAAAACACAGACGAACAGUGGCCUAAUAAUGAUGGGACAGUUUCAACAAUAUCAGGAAAAGCAGACAGUCAACAGCAUUGGCAACGCAGCAAACAUACUAACACAACAAUGAAAAUAAACAGCCAUUCUCCUUCUCC
Bacillus rossius redtenbacheri is the source of this 333-nucleotide long non-coding RNA. RefSeq lists it as uncharacterized. The record is from RefSeq and is a predicted model, not a curated record. The transcript has 3 exons. Lineage: Eukaryota; Metazoa; Arthropoda; Insecta; Phasmatodea; Bacillidae.